CAAGGCGACGAUCCCUAGCUGGUCUGAGAGGAUGACCAGCCACACUGGAACUGAGACACGGUCCAGACUCCUACGGGAGGCAGCAGUGGGGAAUAUUGCACAAUGGGCGCAAGCCUGAUGCAGCCAUGCCGCGUGUAUGAAGAAGGCCUUCGGGUUGUAAAGUACUUUCAGCGGGGAGGAAGGGGAUAAGGCUAAUAACCUUGUUCAUUGACGUUACCCGCAGAAGAAGCACCGGCUAACUCCGUGCCAGCA
RNAcentral lists this ribosomal RNA (252 nucleotides) under Salmonella enterica. RNAcentral describes it as "partial 16S ribosomal RNA". It matches the Rfam family "Bacterial small subunit ribosomal RNA", at positions 269 to 513 of the family's 1533-position model. The record is from RNAcentral. Lineage: Bacteria; Pseudomonadati; Pseudomonadota; Gammaproteobacteria; Enterobacterales; Enterobacteriaceae.